GGCUAGCUUUUAUGGUCUUGAAGGCAGGAACAAUGAGUACAGUCACAGCUAAGAAUGUCAAAGUGUCUAACCCAAGGUCAUUGAUAACAUCAACAGCACUUGCAACAUCAAGUGAUGCAUAUAUCUGAAACCUACACCUCAAAGAUUUUUGGUGUUUUAAGAUACAAACUCCUCUUCCGCUGUACGAAGAUGAAAAAGGUGUACGUUUGCAAACACCAUUUGUUCCCGAAUUUGGAUGGUUUAUCUUGUGAUAUGAAGAAAUAUGAACGGAUUUGUUAUAGGCAUAUGAUAGAUUAGAAUAAUGUGGAUGCAAACAAGAAGCAGAAAAGGUGGACCAGGUAGACCUCGUUUGAGCUCUUACAUUAUAUCCCUGCAAGGUAAACAUAUUAAUUGUCAUUUAUUUGAGUGUAUAUAUGAUCACUAGACAAUCUUAAAGAGAUGCAGAGACUAUAAAAGAAAAGGAGAAAUUCAGAUGAAAGCAGCACUAGGAGAAAGGUAAAUAAGGUUAUAGUGGCAUUUAUGUAUUGCAGAAUUCAACCAUCUGGCUACAAAAUUAGAUGUGCAAAAUAGUAUAGCAUUAUAGGGUAAUAGUAGUAUUUGAAUUUGAAGAUUAUGAUGAAUUUGUAGGAGGAAACCUGAAGAAUACAAUUCAUACCUUGGGAGCAGGAUAGCGAAGGAUGAAGUCACACAUAGUAUUUACUAUGAAACACAGAAAGCAUUGAGCAAUGGGAACAUCAACAACCCUCCCUCACUGUUAAUUUUUUAUAUUGAGAAUAUGAAUGGUGAGCAAAACCCAAAAGGGAAUGAAGAGGGUGAUGAGUGGCCACGCUGAUUGUUGCUGUUGCUGUUUAGAGAGAGAGAGAAAGACAAAAGAGUUUUAGAAGAAGGAUUGAGGAGCUCGGAAGCAAUGAUUCAUGGACCAAAAUGGAUGUUGA
Molecule: long non-coding RNA, 935 nt
Filed under: Solanum tuberosum (potato)
Lineage: Eukaryota; Viridiplantae; Streptophyta; Magnoliopsida; Solanales; Solanaceae
Description: long non-coding RNA (STUB_LNC010815)
Source: RNAcentral